Molecule: long non-coding RNA, 681 nt
Filed under: Bos taurus (domestic cattle)
Lineage: Eukaryota; Metazoa; Chordata; Mammalia; Artiodactyla; Bovidae
Description: long non-coding RNA NONBTAT013512
Source: RNAcentral
UUCCCUAGGGCAGGCUGAAGUCAGGUUGUGUUGGGUUGAGAGAGGACUGGAAGUUAGGAAAUGCGAACAACACAUGUGGGUGCUGAACAGCUCAGUUCAGAAAACAUGCAGUGACGAUUUGGGGACAGAGGGGUCAUUAUGCUGAGAGAGAGGCAAGAUCAAGAGAAGGACUUCCAGUACUGCUGUGACAAGCAGAUUCUUUGGCUGGGAAUAAGGAGCAGGUAUCCAUAGAACUAGGAUACACUUAAGUGAGAUAGGUAAAGUUGAUGAACCGAGAUCCUAGAGGAAUUGGGAUGGAAAAGAAUUGAGCGCACAUAUAAAACAGGAGGUAGAGAUCAUCAAGGCAUUUCUAGUAUCAGUUAUGGGGGAUUAAAUGUCCAUCAGUAAUGUUUAGGGUAAAUGAAGCAUGGGCUGCCCAUUCCUUAGAAUAUUGUGUAAUUUAAAGUAUUAAGAAUGAUAUAUAUUUGUUGACAUGUAGACCUGUGUCCACUGAGUAUCCAAUAAAAGACAUGUUACAGGUGAGAGCUGCUAUAUAACUCAGGGCCCCAGAGUUGGUCUCCUUGGGACACCUUUUGUAUAAAACCCAAGGUGAUUGCUACUUCCUGGUUGAGAAAUUGUCAAAAUAAAAUGGCAGACUAUGACCUGGGAUGAUAAUGUUUAUGGGAAAUAUAAUAGGCUGGG